UGAUAGUGAGUGGUUGGAUGAAUGAUUUCUGUAGACAGGUCACUAGAUAGUAGUUAAGUAAAUUAUUUGAGUUUUAGGUCAUAUUAGAGGAACUAAGGUAAUCAUAUUGAGAGUUAGGUACUACAGGCUGUUCUAGUUAGUUUGGGUGGUGUAGGUAGGUCAACUGGGACCUAAUUGGAUCCCUAAAGUGGUCAAAAACAAACACAAAGUUGUAGAACUAGAGUUAGGUCUCUAGGUU
RNAcentral lists this long non-coding RNA (238 nucleotides) under Vigna radiata. RNAcentral describes it as "long non-coding RNA (VRAD_LNC003866)". The record is from RNAcentral. Lineage: Eukaryota; Viridiplantae; Streptophyta; Magnoliopsida; Fabales; Fabaceae.